GAUAAACGCUAGCGGUGUGCAUUAUGCAUGCAAGUCGAACGGUCUAUCGAAAGAUAGACAGUGGCAAACGGCUGAGUAACACGUAAGCAAUCUGUCCCAAAGUGGGGAAUAAUCCGCCGAAAGGUGGACUAAUACCGCAUGUGGUAGUGGGGGUAGGUUCUCACUACUAAAGCUUUCGGGCGCUUAGGGAGGAGCUUGCGUCCUAUCAGGUAGUUGGUGGGGUAACGGCUCACCAAGCCGACGACGGGUAGCUGGUCUGAGAGGAUGUCCAGCCAGACGGGGACUGAGACACGGCCCGACUCCUACGGGAGGCCAG
Molecule: ribosomal RNA, 316 nt
Filed under: uncultured Chloroflexota bacterium
Lineage: Bacteria; Bacillati; Chloroflexota
Description: bacterial SSU rRNA
Rfam family: Bacterial small subunit ribosomal RNA
Source: RNAcentral